AUCUGCCUUUUUAAAAAAAGUUACCACUGGGUACAUGAUGAAUAAAACCAAAUCACCAUCUUUCGGCUGAGGUCCUGAU
This 79-nucleotide small nucleolar RNA is filed under the name Mesocricetus auratus (golden hamster). The record is from RNAcentral. Lineage: Eukaryota; Metazoa; Chordata; Mammalia; Rodentia; Cricetidae.